AUGGCUCAGAUGAACGCUGGCGGCAGGCCUAACACAUGCAAGUCGAACGGUAACAGGAAGCAGCUUGCUGCUUGCUGACGAGUGGCGGACGGGUGAGUAAUGUCUGGGAAACUGCCUGAUGGAGGGGGGUAACUACUGGAAACGGUAGCUAAUACCGCAUAACGUCGCAAGACCAAAGAGGGGGACCUUCGGGCCUCUUGCCAUCAGAUGUGCCCAGAUGGGAUUAGCUUGUUGGUGGGGUAACGGCUCACCAAGGCGACGAUCCCUAGCUGGUCUGAGAGGAUGACCAGCCACACUGGAACUGAGACACGGUCCAGACUCCUACGGGAGGCAGCAGUGGGGAAUAUUGCACAAUGGGCGCAAGCCUGAUGCAGCCAUGCCGCCGUGUAUGAAGAAGGCCUUCGGGUUGUAAAGUACUUUCAGCGGGGAGGAAGGUGUUGUGGUUAAUAACCACAGCAAUUGACGUUACCCGCAGAAGAAGCACCGGCUAACUCCGUGCCAGCCGCCGC
This 509-nucleotide ribosomal RNA is filed under the name uncultured bacterium. RNAcentral describes it as "bacterial SSU rRNA". It matches the Rfam family "Bacterial small subunit ribosomal RNA", at positions 19 to 518 of the family's 1533-position model. The record is from RNAcentral.